GACGAACGCUGGCGGCGUGCUUAACACAUGCAAGUCGAACGAAGUGGCGAACGGGUGAGUAACGCGUAAUCAACCUGCCCUUCAGAGGGGGACAACAGUUGGAAACGACUUCUAAUACCUCAUACUGAAGGAGGGGACUGCGUCUGCUUAGCCAGUUGGAGGGGUAACGGCCCACCAAGGCGAUGAUCAGUAGCCGGACUGGAAGGAUGAACGGCCACAUUGGGACGGGGACACGGCCCAGACUCCUACGGGAGGCAUCAGUGGGGAAGCUGCCGGAAUGGGCGAAAGUCGGACAGAGCAACGCCGCGUGAGUGGUGACGGCCUUCGGGUUGUAAAGCUCUGUUACUCGGGGCGCGGUACCGGAAUAGAAAGCCACGGCUAACUACGUGCCAGCAGCCGCGGUAAUUC
RNAcentral lists this ribosomal RNA (408 nucleotides) under uncultured bacterium. RNAcentral describes it as "partial 16S ribosomal RNA". It matches the Rfam family "Bacterial small subunit ribosomal RNA", at positions 28 to 526 of the family's 1533-position model. The record is from RNAcentral.